Molecule: long non-coding RNA, 228 nt
Organism: Ficedula albicollis (Collared flycatcher)
Lineage: Eukaryota; Metazoa; Chordata; Aves; Passeriformes; Muscicapidae
Exons: 3
Source: RefSeq, a predicted model, not a curated record
UUUUACGAGUCUGCUUUGACAGCAUCUUUUUCCUUCGCCCAAACCUGGAAAUGCAGAGCCUGGAAGUGUCCCUCUAUGCUCAGACCCUGCAUGCUAUGGACACCAUGCUGGAGGUGAUGGUGCUCAGCUCUCCUGCCUCCAAAACCAGCGAGAUGCUGCAGGACAUCUUGGAGGUUCUGCUGGACUACUUGUUCUUUGACAUAGUGGCAGUGCAGGAGAGGGUCAUGG